Molecule: ribosomal RNA, 320 nt
Filed under: uncultured bacterium
Lineage: Bacteria
Description: bacterial SSU rRNA
Rfam family: Bacterial small subunit ribosomal RNA
Source: RNAcentral
CGCAAGGGGAGUGGCAGACGGGUGAGUAACACGUGGGAACAUGCCCAAAGGUACGGAAUAUUCUCGGGAAACUGGGAGCAAUACCGUAUGUGCCCGAAAGGGGAAAGAUUUAUCGCCUUUGGAUUGGCCCGCGUUGGAUUAGCUAGUUGGUGGGGUAAAAGCCUACCAAGGCGACGAUCCAUAGCUGGUCUGAGAGGACGACCAGCCACACUGGGACUGAGACACGGCCCAGACUCCUACGGGAGGCAGCAGUGGGGAAUCUUGGACAAUGGGCGCAAGCCUGAUCCAGCCAUGCCGCGUGAGUGAUGAAGGCCCUAGGG